RNAcentral lists this ribosomal RNA (253 nucleotides) under uncultured bacterium. RNAcentral describes it as "partial 16S ribosomal RNA". It matches the Rfam family "Bacterial small subunit ribosomal RNA", at positions 524 to 776 of the family's 1533-position model. The record is from RNAcentral.
UACGGAGGAUGCAAGCGUUAUCCGGAAUGAUUGGGCGUAAAGCGUCCGCAGGUGGCUAUGUAAGUCUGCUGUUAAAGAGUGAGGCUCAACCUCAUAAGAGCAGUGGAAACUACAUGGCUAGAGUGCGUUCGGGGCAGAGGGAAUUCCUGGUGUAGCGGUGAAAUGCGUAGAGAUCAGGAAGAACACCGGUGGCAAAAGCGCUCUGCUAGGCCGCAACUGACACUCAUGGACGAAAGCUAGGGGAGCGAAUGGG